Molecule: transfer RNA, 72 nt
Filed under: Caudoviricetes sp.
Lineage: Duplodnaviria; Heunggongvirae; Uroviricota; Caudoviricetes
Description: tRNA-Trp
Rfam family: tRNA
About the family: Transfer RNA (tRNA) molecules are approximately 80 nucleotides in length.
Source: RNAcentral
GCGCCUUUCGUAUAAUUGGAAGUACAACCGGCUCCAACCCGGUUAGUCAGAGUUCGAGUCUUUGGGGGCGUG